Molecule: ribosomal RNA, 404 nt
Filed under: uncultured bacterium
Lineage: Bacteria
Also listed under: 1 other name
Description: bacterial SSU rRNA
Rfam family: Bacterial small subunit ribosomal RNA
Source: RNAcentral
UGGGGAAUAUUGGACAAUGGGCGCAAGCCUGAUCCAGCCAUGCCGCGUGAGUGAUGAAGGCCCUAGGGUUGUAAAGCUCUUUCAACGGUGAAGAUAAUGACGGUAACCGUAGAAGAAGCCCCGGCUAACUUCGUGCCAGCAGCCGCGGUAAUACGAAGGGGGCUAGCGUUGUUCGGAUUUACUGGGCGUAAAGCGCACGUAGGCGGAUUGUUAAGUUAGGGGUGAAAUCCCAGGGCUCAACCCUGGAACUGCCUUUAAUACUGGCAAUCUCGAGUCCGGAAGAGGUGAGUGGAAUUCCGAGUGUAGAGGUGAAAUUCGUAGAUAUUCGGAGGAACACCAGUGGCGAAGGCGGCUCACUGGUCCGGUACUGACGCUGAGGUGCGAAAGCGUGGGGAGCAAACAGG